GUGAACGCUGGCGGUAGGCCUAACACAUGCAAGUCGAACGGCAGCACAGUAAGAGCUUGCUCUUACGGGUGGCGAGUGGCGGACGGGUGAGGAAUACAUCGGAAUCUACUUUUUCGUGGGGGAUAACGUAGGGAAACUUACGCUAAUACCGCAUACGACCUACGGGUGAAAGCAGGGGAUCUUCGGACCUUGCGCGAUUGAAUGAGCCGAUGUCGGAUUAGCUAGUUGGCGGGGUAAAGGCCCACCAAGGCGACGAUCCGUAGCUGGUCUGAGAGGAUGAUCAGCCACACUGGAACUGAGACACGGUCCAGACUCCUACGGGAGGCAGCAGUGGGGAAUAUUGGACAAUGGGCGCAAGCCUGAUCCAGCCAUACCGCGUGGGUGAAGAAGGCCUUCGGGUUGUAAAGCCCUUUUGUUGGGAAAGAAAAGCAGCAGGUUAAUACCCCGCUGUUCUGACGGUUCCCAAAGAAUAAGCACCGGCUAACUUCGUG
Molecule: ribosomal RNA, 491 nt
Filed under: uncultured bacterium
Lineage: Bacteria
Description: partial 16S ribosomal RNA
Rfam family: Bacterial small subunit ribosomal RNA
Source: RNAcentral